CUCUUGGGCUCCUGGAGCCUCAGAGAGCCAGCCGGGAGUGCAGGAGGGAGAACUUUCCUGUGGACGUCCUGUGUUCUCCAGACGCAGAGAACCCUCAUCAACCGAGGGGGAGGUCACUUCCGAAUCCACAGAUGGCGUGUGAGUGCAUGGCGAGCGCCUCCAGGACACACUUACUGUUCCCUUGCUCUGGCCAGACGCCAGCCGGACCCUGUGUGUGCGCGCCGUGCUGCUCUUUGCAGCUGCCUGCAAGGGGUUCCUGCGAAGACCAGCACCUUGGGGAAGAGCCUGCGGCUGAACUUGAACUCGCAGCUACCUGAGUCAGACCUGUGCUUUUUCACCUCUACGGAAGAUGUCAGAGCGUUUCCCUAGCAAUGUUUUAGAAGUUACUUCUGUCUGGAAAAAAAUGGAAAAAA
Molecule: long non-coding RNA, 413 nt
Filed under: Homo sapiens (human)
Lineage: Eukaryota; Metazoa; Chordata; Mammalia; Primates; Hominidae
Description: non-protein coding lnc-AGPAT2-1:3
Source: RNAcentral